Molecule: long non-coding RNA, 386 nt
Filed under: Volvox carteri
Lineage: Eukaryota; Viridiplantae; Chlorophyta; Chlorophyceae; Chlamydomonadales; Volvocaceae
Description: long non-coding RNA (VCAR_LNC003782)
Source: RNAcentral
CCAGCGGCAGUGACCCCAUCGGCGGCUCUACACCGCCCGCCAUGCUGCCGACUCCAGUGGCUACCCCACCCCCGGCGACCCCAACACCACCCCUUCCAUCGCAACACCCGCAGUCAACGGCAGUCCCUGCACAUGCCACAGCCCCGGUCAAUGGCGGCCUGCCAACCCGACAGCAGCAGCAGUGGCGGCGGUGGAAAGUCGGGAAGUCCACCGCUGCUCCGGUGAUAGUGCUGACAGCGCUAAGUCUAACAUGCCCGACGGCAGCAGCGGUGGCAGAGGCAACAGUGCGGUGCACACUGCCAACGACAUGCUGGUGACGGCGGACAACCUGCAACCUGCCCAGUUUAAAUGGGGGGGACUAACGGCUCACCUCGACUGUAAUCACA